Molecule: ribosomal RNA, 695 nt
Filed under: uncultured bacterium
Lineage: Bacteria
Description: bacterial SSU rRNA
Rfam family: Bacterial small subunit ribosomal RNA
Source: RNAcentral
UAACGCGUGAGGAACCUGCCUCAAAGAGGGGGACAACAGUUGGAAACGACUGCUAAUACCGCAUAAGCCCACAGCUCGGCAUCGAGCAGAGGGAAAAGGAGCAAUCCGCUUUGAGAUGGCCUCGCGUCCGAUUAGCUAGUUGGUGAGGUAACGGCCCACCAAGGCGACGAUCGGUAGCCGGACUGAGAGGUUGAACGGCCACAUUGGGACUGAGACACGGCCCAGACUCCUACGGGAGGCAGCAGUGGGGAAUAUUGCACAAUGGGGAAACCCUGAUGCAGCGACGCCGCGUGGAGGAAGAAGGUCUUCGGAUUGUAAACUCCUGUUGUUGGGGAAGAUAAUGACGGUACCCAACAAGGAAGUGACGGCUAACUACGUGCCAGCAGCCGCGGUAAAACGUAGGUCACAAGCGUUGUCCGGAAUUACUGGGUGUAAAGGGAGCGCAGGCGGGAAGACAAGUUGGAAGUGAAAUCUAUGGGCUCAACCCAUAAACUGCUUUCAAAACUGUUUUUCUUGAGUAGUGCAGAGGUAGGCGGAAUUCCCGGUGUAGCGGUGGAAUGCGUAGAUAUCGGGAGGAACACCAGUGGCGAAGGCGGCCUACUGGGCACCAACUGACGCUGAGGCUCGAAAGUGUGGGUAGCAAACAGGAUUAGAUACCCUGGUAGUCCACACCGUAAACGAUGAUUACUAGGUGU